RNAcentral lists this ribosomal RNA (646 nucleotides) under uncultured bacterium. Its description in RNAcentral is "bacterial SSU rRNA". It matches the Rfam family "Bacterial small subunit ribosomal RNA", at positions 163 to 806 of the family's 1533-position model. The record is from RNAcentral.
UUAAUACCGCAUACGACCUACGGGUGAAAGCGGGGGACCGUAAGGCCUCGCGCUAUUGGAGCGGCCGAUGUCAGAUUAGGUUGUUGGUGGGGUAAAGGCCUACCAAGCCGACGAUCUGUAGCUGGUCUGAGAGGACGACCAGCCACACUGGGACUGAGACACGGCCCAGACUCCUACGGGAGGCAGCAGUGGGGAAUUUUGGACAAUGGGGGCAACCCUGAUCCAGCCAUGCCGCGUGCGGGAAGAAGGCCUUCGGGUUGUAAACCGCUUCUGUCAGGGAAGAAACGCUCUGAGCUAAUACCUCGGGGUAAUGACGGUACCUGAAGAAUAAGCACCGGCUAACUACGUGCCAGCAGCCGCGGUAAUACGUAGGGUGCGAGCGUUAAUCGGAAUUACUGGGCGUAAAGCGUGCGCAGGCGGUCGUGCAAGACAGAUGUGAAAUCCCCGGGCUUAACCUGGGAACUGCAUUUGUGACUGCACGGCUGGAGUGCGGCAGAAGGGGAUGGAAUUCCGCGUGUAGCAGUGAAAUGCGUAGAUAUGCGGAGGACACCGAUGGCGAAGGCAAUCCCCUGGGCCUGCACUGACGCUCAUGCACGAAAGCGUGGGGGAGCAAACAGAUUAGAUACCCUGUAGUCCACGCCCUAAA